This is a long non-coding RNA of Tympanuchus pallidicinctus (lesser prairie-chicken), 5425 nucleotides long. RefSeq lists it as uncharacterized. The record is from RefSeq and is a predicted model, not a curated record. Lineage: Eukaryota; Metazoa; Chordata; Aves; Galliformes; Phasianidae. The transcript is spliced from 4 exons.
CUCUGAGUCACAACAGCUAUUCCUUGUUAUCUGCAGUUGAAGAAUACAUAGAGCCAUCACGUUUCAGCGCGAGUAUAUGGAUUAUGAAAAUCAGUAUAAGCACAGGAAUCCUGGUAAAAUGCAGCAAAGGAUUUAAGGUUAUCAUCUGUCUCUCCCUAACUUCUGACAUCUCUUUAUAACAAGAAAGAGUCACAGCCAACUGUAACAGGAGGGCAACACAAUGAAUCCCGGUGCUGAAGAAGCUGUGGAUCCCUCAGUUAUGCUCAGUUAUGCCUGGUUUAUCACUAAUGAAGGUAAUGGGUGGAGUAGCAGACAUCGGUGAAGCAGCUACAAGGCAAUGUUGGCAAAGCAAGGCUUUGAGCUCCCCUGCUCUGUACCCAUUUGUCACUCCUUUCAAAAAGAAGAUGGAAACUCUUGGUAUGGAUGCAAAACUCAGAAGAGGUCUGUGCCAAAUAAGAGCAAGAACACAGCUGCACAAGACUCAGCACACUUCUCAUAGACAAAAUGCAAUGAAGGAAAAGAAGGCACUUUAAGCUAAAUCAGAGAUCAUUAUAGAAUACUUUUCCCAUUCAGCUUGCUCUAGAAGAAAUAUGUACAUGCAGCAGCAGCACUUGGGGUAUGAAGAGCUUCUUUGAAAGCAGAAGCAGUUGCCAGUAUUUGAGGUGUGGAUGGUGAGUGAGAAAAUCAGCUGUUCCUGCAGAGGUGCCCCCAGCAACAGCAGCUUCUGAGAAAUCCUGCUUUUGUGUCCUCAAUGAGAACACAGCCUGGAAUGACUGAGAGCAAGCUCUGUUUGCAGGAAGCAUUUCGGACCAACAUCCAUUGCCUGAGGAGGUUUCCAGAGGCCAAGCAGAGGCAAUCAGCUGUGUAAACAUUUCAAGGCACAGAAGGAGCCAUAAACACAGAGCAGCAAAUGGAGUUUGUGCAGAUCCUUGCUGUACUGGUCUGUGAAGGCAUGCUGUUAUCUUUCAAACAGUGGUGCACGGGGCGUUAGGCAGUGGUUGGGUCCUUCACUCUUGGUGUCUUACUGUGCUUGUUUUACCUUCCAACUCUUCAUCUUAACACCUCCAGUCUAUUUCAGAUACUAUACCCAAAGUCUUCCUGUUGGCAAAGGGGAACAUACUGCAUAUAUGGACCUAUUAAUUUAUUGUUAGUCUAAGGUUUUCAACAGUCUGAUAGUAAAAAUUACCAAAUCCAUACAGGAAGAUGUUAUAAAAUAGAAUUGAAAUUGUUAGACAAAAUUUCCCUGUUCUCUUGCGUUGUGCUUACUCCUCCAGUGUGCCUUUGGGUCUUAAGAUUGACAUCUUAGUAUUUCUCAAAAGGAAUGGGGGAGUAUGGUGAGUCAUCGCCAGGACAAGCAUGAUAUUCAGGGGUGGGGGGAUGGCUUUUUUUCCUCAGUCUGGUGUAUUCUUGAAUUUUAUUUGAUAUGAUUUCUUAACACUAGAAGCUCACUGUGAUUGAAAGACUGUGAUCUGCUUCCUCUGUGUUUGCAUUUCCAUGACUUAUUGUAGAGCCAUAGGCAAUUUAAUUCACAAGGAAAAGCCACUUGUUUUUACUAUAAACUAAAGUUAAAUUGAAACAAAUCGAGUUGCAUGUACCAGACAGCUACAUGCAGCCAAAAGAAUUUAAAAUCUACUUAGGCCAAGACAGAAUUGCCAAGGCCCUGUACCAUCACAUCAACAUAAAACACGUUUGGCCCUGCUUACCCACCAGGUGCUCAAUCACUAGUUCAAGCCCUGACUUAGCAUUUCUGCUAUAGAGAAUCAUAGAAUCAUAGAAUGGUCUGGGUUGAAAAGGACCAUAAUGAUCAUCCUAGUUUCAACCUCCCUGCUGUGUGCAAGGUCGCCAACCACCAGACCAUGCUGCCCAGAGCUACGUACAGCUUGACCUUGAAUGCCUUCAGGGACAGGGAGAGACCAUAGUGUAAUCUGUGAGGGUAUAGGAUAAUUAAAAUCAUACACUUCAAUCUAACAUAGAAACUUUACACACACGCACAGAGGAAUGUUUGUGAGGUAGUCCACAAUUUCUGGAAUUGGGAAUGCACACAAAUGCAGCUAGAUCCCACAUAUAUGAUUAUAGACUGCUUAGAAGCAGAAGGAGAAGUGCCAUGAUCAUAUAUAGUUAACUUUCAAGCUAAGCAGUCAUGUGAAGACUGGAAACUAAUAUCUUCACAUAUAUAUUGCAUAUUUCAACAUUUUUUUCCAGCAUUCUUCUGAAAGUCUCACUGGAAUAUUCCAUUUUCUGUGAUAGUCUGUGUUCACAGAUGCACAGUUUUAUUACAAGAAACACUCAUUUUAUAUAUCUCCAAAAUUAUGUGAUCACCUUCUUGGUACAAAAGGAACUGUUCCAGCAACUUGGUACACGAUUACAUAGCUUACAUAUCUGUAGUGUUUGCAGCAUGUGCUAAGUUCAGGAUGUUUCAAAAGAUUUCCAAUACAGUAGUACACAAGUUUAUUUAAGAACUCUGAUUUUUCCAUCACAAAAAAUGUUUGUACCUUGUUGAACCGUCUUUGCUUUUAUGUUCUUUAAACACGUGCCCUUGUGCACCUCUGAGAAAAAUUUGGCUCUAAUUUCUCUAUAGCUUCCCAUGAUGUAUUUUUAGGCAGCAAUAAAUCCCUGCCAUCCCCUCAGCCUUUUCAGGGCUGAGGAAUCGCAGCUCCCUCGGCCUCUCCUGGCACGCUGCCUAGCGCCUGGCCUGCUCUGCUCUAGCGCCGUAUGGCAGUGUCUGCCUUGUACUGUAGGAGAUACCAUAAUUAAAUUCGUAAUUUUCAUUUAUGGCUUCUACUUUCGUUCACAUGCUUCUUGACAGUGGAAUGCUUUUAACUUGUUCUGCAGCUGUACCCUCUUCUCAAGCGUUAUGCUGUGCCAGUUCAGUUGGACGUGCUCCUGUUUCAGCUUUAAGUUUCCCUUCUGCAAACUCCAGAUUUCUGCUAGCACUGCCUUUUCUACAUUUUCUUCUCUUGCUGUUAACCAGCACAUUAUAGGCUAGGCAAGAGAAGAAUUUAGACUUUGUUUUCUUUUAAUUUUAGAAAAGGUUGCUUUGCUGCCUGAAUAGUUUUGCAAGAAGCUGGAUCCAAGGAUAUGCUCAUCACUGGAUUUAGACCAGACAAGUUUAGAAAGAAGAACAUUUCCAAAGACGAUUUAAGAUAAGAAGAGCAGCAGAGCUCAUCUGAGUUUGCACAUGUCUGGCAGCAUUUGGCUCUGCAGAGUGCGGACACAGAGGGUGUCUGAGUUUCCCCUGCAGUCAGUGAGAACAGGGGAUAGUCAUAUUUGGCAGAAAGUAUUCUCCCUUUUGCAGGAUUUGACUCUUGAAGAACCCCACACUAUAAUGAAAAACUCUUCCUCACAUCUCCCCAGUUCCAAUUCAGGAGCUUAAAAUGAUUGCAUUACCAUUAGAAUCAUUACAAAGAAAUCAGUCUAAAAAUCACUCUAGCAAAGGCAGUGGAGCUGCAACUGCAGGUGUCAUGGAAUUUAGUGUGAAAGAUGGUGUUUCCAAAUUUGUUUCUGAAAUAUUUGAAAAGACUGUGUAAAGAGGGGAAACAAGCAAACUAGCAGGCAGUGUUUUUUCCCUCUGUGGUUUUUGUGGACUAAGAAUAGAGAGAACACGUAGCAAGCAUCUUGCUAUUAAAUUUGCCCAUGACAAAUAGUGCAGCUGCACAUAGUGUGCAAGAACAUCUGUAGACUCAUGACACAUGCAAAAUUCCCCACACUAAGAACGUGACAUUAUGCUGAAAACAAUUCAGUUGUAAAAGCAAUAUAAAUCCAUUUUACGUAGACUUUCUCCACCUUUCCUCCCCUUCUCUUUUGAAUUGUGUUAACUGAAGAAUUCUGUCUCUCCUACAUGACAUUAGUAAAAAUCACAAUGUAAAAGUGAGUAAACAUUUCAGAAUUGUCCCUUUUUUCAUUAGCGGCUGGAAGGCAGGUAUGCCUUUCCUGGAGGAAAAGAAAGUUUAAGAAAGAAUAACCAGCAGCAGAAAUGCAUUAGACACAAAAUCCUACUCCAAGUGGAUCUUGUCAGGGUUUGGCAGCUGCAAUUUAACUCUUCAGAAAUCAAGAGGUGAUUUCCUGUGUCUCUUGUGCAGUCGUUCAGUCCUAAGUGAGCAGUGGGAUUGCUACCAGCCUUUACUUCGCUGAUAUAGAUGCUUGCACAAAAUGCAGCAAUAGGGAACAAUAUGUCUAAAAUGUGUAGGUUUCUAAGAUAAAGGGAAAUUCCCUAGCUGGGAUUUAUUUGAGUUCCCAUAGUUUCUCUGACAAAAUAAUGCAGUUAUUGUGGAAUUCUCUAGAAGUUCAUCUAAGCUCCACACUGCCAUAAUGAAUCAUAGAAUGGCUUAGUUGGAAGGGACCUUAGAGAUCAUCUAGUUCCAAACCCCUCCUUCUCUAAUACUUUCUUUGCAAUCUUUAGACUUACUAAAGUAAAAAAAUCUUAAAAUGGCAACACAAACACUAAUUUUUGUUGCGAGUCUGAGGUUAUUUAAAGGCUUUGUGAUGGUAAUGUCAUGAGAAGGCAGACCUAGGCAUGCUAUUAAUAUGUGGAUCAUAAUUAACUUGUUUCUUUGGAAACAUCUCACUUACUCACUCUGACAUUCAGUCAGAACAGUUCAUAGUAACUACCUGAACCUCCAAGAACAUUUCCCUAUUCUUUAUAUAGGGUGCAGAAUGAGACUGAAGCUGGAGGUGUCAUCCAGCUGGGUCCUAAUUUUCAGCUCUCUGCCCAUUAAAUUCCUGCAACCUAACUGCAAAACCAUAAGAGCAAUGUAAUGAUGUUAUUGAUAGCAUACAUUUUGAGCAUACUGACUUUCUGCAUUCUUUCGUUAAGUCCUUAGAAUUCAGUUUCCUUUCCUAAGUGAAGAAAGCCUUGUUUUUCAAUUUCGGAGAGAUAUAGAGCACAAAUGAGAAUGUUUUUAAAGCACUCUGAAAAUGGAAAAAGUGUGCAAGUACCACUGAUGUCACCUGACAACAUUUGUUUACUGUUAGGGGUAUAUUAAUAUCUUAGUUUAAUUAGAUUUGAUUCCUUAUUCAAUAACACAAUGAUUUCUAAAAUUCGCUUCCUGGUUUGAUGUUCAGCGACUGUUUACACAAGAUACGUGAUGAUGUACAUCACCAUAGCAGGAAGGAACAUCCUGAGAAGCAGGAGUUGGGAAAUGCCCCUUUUUUAACCUGUCUUAUGUCCCCACCUCUCAUGCAGAGAAGUACACGUUCAGUGGUGAGUUGUGGCUGCAGUCAGUUGUGGCCUCUCCAUGCUGGCAAUGACUGCCUGUUGUCCACACUGUGCGCUUGAACGUCACUGCUGUAAUCCUUCUUUUGUCACUGCCUGUGCAUUAGUUGCUCUCUGAGGUACACAGCACAGCAGUUGCAGGCAGCUCAAUAUAGUAAUGGGCUCUGGCGAAUAAUGAAAGUAGCAAUAAGGUUUUUAAAAAAUUAGCACUGU